Molecule: ribosomal RNA, 902 nt
Filed under: Staphylococcus lugdunensis
Lineage: Bacteria; Bacillati; Bacillota; Bacilli; Caryophanales; Staphylococcaceae
Description: bacterial SSU rRNA
Rfam family: Bacterial small subunit ribosomal RNA
Source: RNAcentral
GCUGGCGGCGUGCCUAAUACAUGCAAGUCGAGCGAACAGAUAAGGAGCUUGCUCCUUUGACGUUAGCGGCGGACGGGUGAGUAACACGUGGGUAACCUACCUAUAAGACUGGGACAACUUCGGGAAACCGGAGCUAAUACCGGAUAAUAUGUUGAACCGCAUGGUUCAAUAGUGAAAGAUGGUUUUGCUAUCACUUAUAGAUGGACCCGCGCCGUAUUAGCUAGUUGGUGAGGUAACGGCUCACCAAGGCAACGAUACGUAGCCGACCUGAGAGGGUGAUCGGCCACACUGGAACUGAGACACGGUCCAGACUCCUACGGGAGGCAGCAGUAGGGAAUCUUCCGCAAUGGGCGAAAGCCUGACGGAGCAACGCCGCGUGAGUGAUGAAGGUCUUAGGAUCGUAAAACUCUGUUAUUAGGGAAGAACAAACGUGUAAGUAACUGUGCACGUCUUGACGGUACCUAAUCAGAAAGCCACGGCUAACUACGUGCCAGCAGCCGCGGUAAUACGUAGGUGGCAAGCGUUAUCCGGAAUUAUUGGGCGUAAAGCGCGCGUAGGCGGUUUUUUAAGUCUGAUGUGAAAGCCCACGGCUCAACCGUGGAGGGUCAUUGGAAACUGGAAAACUUGAGUGCAGAAGAGGAAAGUGGAAUUCCAUGUGUAGCGGUGAAAUGCGCAGAGAUAUGGAGGAACACCAGUGGCGAAGGCGACUUUCUGGUCUGUAACUGACGCUGAUGUGCGAAAGCGUGGGGAUCAAACAGGAUUAGAUACCCUGGUAGUCCACGCCGUAAACGAUGAGUGCUAAGUGUUAGGGGGUUUCCGCCCCUUAGUGCUGCAGCUAACGCAUUAAGCACUCCGCCUGGGGAGUACGACCGCAAGGUUGAAACUCAAAGGAAUUGACGGGG